RNAcentral lists this transfer RNA (77 nucleotides) under Acidobacteriota bacterium. Its description in RNAcentral is "Acidobacteria bacterium tRNA-Arg". It matches the Rfam family "tRNA". From Rfam's summary of the family: Transfer RNA (tRNA) molecules are approximately 80 nucleotides in length. Their secondary structure includes four short double-helical elements and three loops (D, anti-codon, and T loops). The record is from RNAcentral. Lineage: Bacteria; Pseudomonadati; Acidobacteriota. RNAcentral also lists the same sequence under 2 other names.
GCGCCCAUAGCUCAACUGGAUAGAGCGUCGGCCUACGGAGCCGAAGGUUAGAGGUUCGAAUCCUCUUGGGCGUACCA